UUGAACGCUGGCGGCAUGCUUUACACAUGCAAGUCGAACGCGAAAGGGGGCAACCCUGAGUAGAGUGGCGCACGGGUGAGUAAUACAUCGGAACGUGUCCUGUAAUGGGGGAUAACGCAGCGAAAGCUGUGCUAAUACCGCAUACGUCCUACGGGAGAAAGCGGGGGAUCGCAAGACCUCGCGUUAUAGGAGCGGCCGAUGCCGGAUUAGCUAGUUGGUGGGGUAAAGGCCUACCAAGGCAACGAUCCGUAGCUGGUCUGAGAGGAUGAUCAGCCACACUGGGACUGAGACACGGCCCAGACUCCUACGGGAGGCAGCAGUGGGGAAUUUUGGACAAUGGGGGCAACCCUGAUCCAGCCAUGCCGCGUGAGUGAAGAAGGCCUUCGGGUUGUAAAGCUCUUUCGUCCGGGACGAAAUCGCACAGGCGAAUACCUUGUGCGGAUGACGGUACCGGAAUAAGAAGCACCGGCUAACUACGU
This 479-nucleotide ribosomal RNA is filed under the name uncultured bacterium. RNAcentral describes it as "bacterial SSU rRNA". It matches the Rfam family "Bacterial small subunit ribosomal RNA", at positions 30 to 506 of the family's 1533-position model. The record is from RNAcentral.